AAUUCUUCUUCAGGGUGGCCCAGGGAAGUCAGAAGAUUGGACAUCCCUGACCUAGAGGAUUUAUAAACUACAGAUAGUUGGGCCCCACUCCCAGAGCUUCUGAUUCAGUAGGUCUGGGGUAAGGCCUGAUGGUUUACAGUUCAAACAACUUGAUGCUGAUGCCACUGGGGUUAGGGACCACAUUCUGACAACCACUGCUCUAAACAAAUUCCAGGUAAUAAGAUAAUAAAGUAUGGUUUUUAUAAUUAUAUAGCAAGUUCCUUAUGGGAAAAGAACAAGAUCACAUAUUCUUUUGUGGUCCACUGCUUAGUAGUGCUUUAUUAAGUGCUUUUGAGUGAACAGAUUCAAUUGGUACUGUCAACCUCCUGGAGCCCAUGCCCUUUUACCACUCCUUGAAUUUAAAGCAAAACUGAAGAUACUAGAAAUCUGUGAGAAUCUCCAGGGCAGUGUGUGCCAUACUUUUUGGUAAACUCAAUUGGAGCAUUUACAAAAAGGAUACAUACCUACUGAGAAAAUUUUCUGUGAUUCUUACCAUCAUCUAAAAAGUUGGGGAAAUGUAGUCCUCUGGCCACAGCACCCCUGGUUCUCUAUUCCUGGGUGGCAUCUGGUCACUUUAUCUGAAUUCAGAUACUUCCCAUUCCCAUCCACUUUUUUGCUUCUGCAAUAGGUUUUAUACAGUGGAACCCAUACCCAGAGAUUCUGUUUCAGAAGAUUUGGGAUAGAUGCAGAAAUCUGCAUUUUAAACAAGCUACUCAGAUGAUUCUAAUGCAGGUGUUUUUCAUGCACCAUCUCACUGAGACCUCAACAAAGUUUUUAUGAGUUCUGUCUCUGGCGUGGUCUAAUGUAGCAGCACCAUUACUGUUCCUGAGUAAAAGCAUCCCGAUCUUGGGUUUUUGGUAUCAGUGUGA
Molecule: long non-coding RNA, 908 nt
Filed under: Homo sapiens (human)
Lineage: Eukaryota; Metazoa; Chordata; Mammalia; Primates; Hominidae
Description: HSALNT0393821
Source: RNAcentral